RNAcentral lists this ribosomal RNA (693 nucleotides) under Bacillus sp. FJAT-4542. Its description in RNAcentral is "bacterial SSU rRNA". It matches the Rfam family "Bacterial small subunit ribosomal RNA", at positions 61 to 734 of the family's 1533-position model. Lineage: Bacteria; Bacillati; Bacillota; Bacilli; Caryophanales; Bacillaceae. The record is from RNAcentral.
GUCGAGCGAAUGGAUUGAGAGCUUGCUCUCAAGAAGUUAGCGGCGGACGGGUGAGUAACACGUGGGUAACCUGCCCAUAAGACUGGGAUAACUCCGGGAAACCGGGGCUAAUACCGGAUAAUAUUUUGAACUGCAUGGUUCGAAAUUGAAAGGCGGCUUCGGCUGUCACUUAUGGAUGGACCCGCGUCGCAUUAGCUAGUUGGUGAGGUAACGGCUCACCAAGGCAACGAUGCGUAGCCGACCUGAGAGGGUGAUCGGCCACACUGGGACUGAGACACGGCCCAGACUCCUACGGGAGGCAGCAGUAGGGAAUCUUCCGCAAUGGACGAAAGUCUGACGGAGCAACGCCGCGUGAGUGAUGAAGGCUUUCGGGUCGUAAAACUCUGUUGUUAGGGAAGAACAAGUGCUAGUUGAAUAAGCUGGCACCUUGACGGUACCUAACCAGAAAGCCACGGCUAACUACGUGCCAGCAGCCGCGGUAAUACGUAGGUGGCAAGCGUUAUCCGGAAUUAUUGGGCGUAAAGCGCGCGCAGGUGGUUUCUUAAGUCUGAUGUGAAAGCCCACGGCUCAACCGUGGAGGGUCAUUGGAAACUGGGAGACUUGAGUGCAGAAGAGGAAAGUGGAAUUCCAUGUGUAGCGGUGAAAUGCGUAGAGAUAUGGAGGAACACCAGUGGCGAAGGCGACUUUCUGGUC